UACGGAGGAUCCAAGCGUUAUCCGGAUUUAUUGGGUUUAAAGGGUGCGUAGGCGGGGAAUUAAGUCAGUGGUGAAAGUUUGCAGCUCAACUGUAAAAUUGCCAUUGAAACUGAUUUUCUUGAGUGUAAAUGAGGUAGGCGGAAUGUGUUGUGUAGCGGUGAAAUGCUUAGAUAUAACACAGAACACCGAUUGCGAAGGCAGCUUACUGGGAUACAGCUGACGCUGAUGCACGAAAGCGUGGGGAUCAAACAGG
This 253-nucleotide ribosomal RNA is filed under the name uncultured bacterium. RNAcentral describes it as "partial 16S ribosomal RNA". It matches the Rfam family "Bacterial small subunit ribosomal RNA", at positions 524 to 776 of the family's 1533-position model. The record is from RNAcentral.